This 68-nucleotide transfer RNA is filed under the name Clibanarius infraspinatus. RNAcentral's name for it is "tRNA-Pro". It matches the Rfam family "tRNA". Rfam says of the family: Transfer RNA (tRNA) molecules are approximately 80 nucleotides in length. Their secondary structure includes four short double-helical elements and three loops (D, anti-codon, and T loops). The record is from RNAcentral. Lineage: Eukaryota; Metazoa; Arthropoda; Malacostraca; Decapoda; Diogenidae.
CAGAAAAUAAUUUAAUUAUAAAAUAUUAGUUUUGGGAAUUAAAAAUAAGGGAUUCCCCUUUUUUCUGA